Molecule: long non-coding RNA, 1588 nt
Organism: Mirounga angustirostris (Northern elephant seal)
Lineage: Eukaryota; Metazoa; Chordata; Mammalia; Carnivora; Phocidae
Exons: 3
Source: RefSeq, a predicted model, not a curated record
ACCUGGGGGCUGGCUCUGGCAUCAUCUUUUCCAUUCUGAGCAACAGAGUGGUGGUGAGACAGGAGCUCCUUCAGGAAGUGAUGGGGAGCUGCCACCAUAGGGUCAACAACCUCUUGGACUACAAGUGCAGACCACGGCCUUUGAAGCUGAUCACCUACUCUGCGAAGGAGAAGAUUGGUCAGGAGAUGAAGUACAGUGUUCUGGGCAGGAGCUCUGAGGACUUUGUCACCAACCUGAGAUAUGGCGAGCCCAACAGCAGGCAGUUUCCCCAUGUGCAGGAGGAGGAGUUGGAUGGAGGACCCCUGGAGGCCUGCCGGUCUGACCUUCUAGGAUCCAUCACCUGUAGGAUCCACCAUAAAGGCAGCUCUUGAUGCCCCCAAAGGAUGUCAGAAAGAGUGUGGGCCAAGCCAGCACCAGGACAGAUCUAAGGUCCCAGAGAGCACUCAGGUGGCAUAUGCCCUGACUGGAGGAGGGGCGACCCUGGCAAUGAGCCUUCUAGGCAUUGUUGGAUACUUUCUUUUGAAGAGCUAAUCCCCAAACCAGUGACAGCCUGAAGGAACCCCAAAUCCUGCAGCUGCAGAGACCAGUGCAGACACCCCUGGGCUCCGCUGUCUGCGAGACCCUCACCCUCGGGCCACCUAGGUUCUGUCUCUCCCUUUCCCUUUCUCACUGGCUGAAGGAUGGGCUAAUUGUACCAAGACCAAAGAAUCAGUAAGUGUAUCUUCAGGAAGGACUUCCACCGUAGUUUUCUAGACUUCUGAACCAGAAAGGAAGAAAGGAACAUUAAUUUGGCACCUGUUGGGUUCUCCCAGCAAUUUCUAGCUGAGUGACCUUGGGAAAAGCUCUUGACUCUCAGAGCUUGGGUCCCACCUUCUCUGGGAUGGGGGUAAUGAUCCACUUCCCACUGAUGUUGUCAGGAUUAAGUAAGGUCAUGUGGAGAAGUCACCCCCCAUGAUGUCUGGUGCCUAGCUAGUAUUCCGUGGAUUGUCUACAUCCUUCCACCAAGACUCACCAUUGUUGUCAUGACACAUCAUUCAUUUUACUGUUGGGGUGCCAAAAAAAAUCCAGACCCAACCACUGAAUUCUGUCCCACUGUAGCCACACCACCUGGUGCUUGAACCCCGUGACUCUGCGUACGCAGUUCCCAACGUCUUCCCAAGCACCUCCUUCGCUCAGCCCUCUUUUAGCUUUCUUUGUCAACUCCAAGUCUGGUGCUCAUCGUCUGUGACUACCAGAUGGAAGUAUAUGCACUUUCCCUGCCUAAAUUGCCAGGGUUCAAGCUGCCCCUAGGUUGAAUGCUGAACAUUAGCCACCUUGACUUUUAGGGCAGUGAAAUACUGUGCAUGAGGCUCUAAUGAUGGGUACGUGUCAUUACACAUUUGUCCAGACCCACAGAAACACUGAAAGUGGACCCAAAGGUGAACUGUGGACUUUGGGGCAUUAUGAUGUGUCCGUGUGGGGUCAUCAAUUGUAACAACAAUGGAUCCUCUGCUGAGGGAUGUUGAUAGUGGGGGAGGCUGUGCAUGAGGCGAGCAAGGGGUGUCCAGGAACUCUCUGUACCUUCCUCCCAAUUGUGCUGGGAAGCUAA